AGUGAAUAAUUCAACGGCCGCGGUACCCUAACCGUGCAAAGGUAGCAUAAUCAUUCGUCUAUUAAUUGUAGACCAGUAUGAAAGGCAACAUGAGGGCCUAACUGUCUCUUGUAAUAAAUCAAUUAAACUGAUCUUCUAGUAAAAAAGCUAGAAUCUUUCCAUAAGACCAGAAGACCCUGUGAAGCUUAAACUAAACUAUUAAAACACAUAAUAACUACUUUCGGUUGGGGCGACCCUGGAAAAAAAAAGAACUUCCAACAAUAACAUACCAAACUACACAGGCCCACAAGCCACAUACCAGUGACCCAGCACAGCUGAUCAUUGAACCAAGUUACUCCAGGGAUAACAGCGCCAUCUUCUUUAAGAGCCCAUAUCAAAAAGAAGGUUUACGACCUCGAUGUUGGAUCAGGACAUCCUAA
This 419-nucleotide ribosomal RNA is filed under the name Pseudoboa coronata. RNAcentral's name for it is "partial 16S ribosomal RNA". It matches the Rfam family "Bacterial large subunit ribosomal RNA", at positions 1911 to 2550 of the family's 2925-position model. The record is from RNAcentral. Lineage: Eukaryota; Metazoa; Chordata; Lepidosauria; Squamata; Dipsadidae.